Molecule: ribosomal RNA, 232 nt
Filed under: uncultured Enterobacterales bacterium
Lineage: Bacteria; Pseudomonadati; Pseudomonadota; Gammaproteobacteria; Enterobacterales
Description: partial 16S ribosomal RNA
Rfam family: Bacterial small subunit ribosomal RNA
Source: RNAcentral
CGGACGGGUGAGUAAUGUCUGGGAAACUGCCUGAUGGAGGGGGAUAACUACUGGAAACGGUAGCUAAUACCGCAUAACGUCGCAAGACCAAAGAGGGGGACCUUCGGGCCUCUUGCCAUCAGAUGUGCCCAGAUGGGAUUAGCUAGUAGGUGGGGUAACGGCUCACCUAGGCGACGAUCCCUAGCUGGUCUUGGAGGAUGAUCAGCCACACUGGGACUGAGACACGGCCCAG